Molecule: ribosomal RNA, 301 nt
Filed under: uncultured bacterium
Lineage: Bacteria
Description: partial 16S ribosomal RNA
Rfam family: Bacterial small subunit ribosomal RNA
Source: RNAcentral
CAGUCGCCGCGGGAAUACGUAGGUGGCAAGCGUUGUCCGGAAUUAUUGGGCGUAAAGGGCUCGCAGGCGGUUUCUUAAGUCUGAUGUGAAAGCCCCCGGCUCAACCGGGGAGGGUCAUUGGAAACUGGGAAACUUGAGUGCAGAAGAGGAGAGUGGAAUUCCACGUGUAGCGGUGAAAUGCGUAGAGAUGUGGAGGAACACCAGUGGCGAAGGCGACUCUCUGGUCUGUAACUGACGCUGAGGAGCGAAAGCGUGGGGAGCGAACAGGAUUAGAUACCCUGUAGUCCCUGUCUCUUAUACA